RNAcentral lists this ribosomal RNA (906 nucleotides) under uncultured bacterium. RNAcentral's name for it is "bacterial SSU rRNA". It matches the Rfam family "Bacterial small subunit ribosomal RNA", at positions 85 to 987 of the family's 1533-position model. The record is from RNAcentral.
UAUGAGUAGAGCGGCGGACGGGUGAGUAACGCGUAGGAAUCUACCUAGUAGAAGGGGAUAGCCCGAGGAAACUCGGAUUAAUACCGUAUACCUCCUUCGGGAGAAAGAAGGCCUCUCUUUGAAGCUUUCGCUACUAGAUGAGCCUGCGUAAGAUUAGCUUGUUGGUGAGGUAAAGGCUCACCAAGGCUACGAUCUUUAGCGGGUCUGAGAGGACGAUCCGCCACAUUGGGACUGAGACACGGCCCAGACUCCUACGGGAGGCAGCAGUGGGGAAUAUUGGACAAUGGGCGAAAGCCUGAUCCAGCCAUACCGCGUGUGUGAAGAAGGCCCUAGGGUUGUAAAGCACUUUAAGUUGGGAAGAAAAGUUAUUGGUUAAUACCCAAUGACCGUGACAUUACCAUCAGAAUAAGGACCGGCUAAUUCCGUGCCAGCAGCCGCGGUAAUACGGAAGGUCCAAGCGUUAAUCGGAAUUACUGGGCGUAAAGCGCGCGUAGGUGGUUUAUUAAGUUGGGUGUGAAAUCCCCGGGCUCAACCUGGGAACUGCAUCCAAAACUGAUUCACUAGAGUACGAUAGAGGGAGGUAGAAUUCACAGUGUAGCGGUGGAAUGCGUAGAUAUUGUGAAGAAUACCAAUGGCGAAGGCAGCCUCCUGGAUCUGUACUGACACUGAGGUGCGAAAGCGUGGGUAGCGAACAGGAUUAGAUACCCUGGUAGUCCACGCCGUAAACGAUGUCAACUAUCUGUUGGAAAGCAUUGCUUUUCAGUGGAGCAGCUAACGUAAUAAGUUGACCGCCUGGGGAGUACGGCCGCAAGGCUAAAACUCAAAUGAAUUGACGGGGACCCGCACAAGCGGUGGAGCAUGUGGUUUAAUUCGAUGCAACGCGAAAACCUUACCUAUGCUUGACAU